This 253-nucleotide ribosomal RNA is filed under the name uncultured bacterium. RNAcentral's name for it is "partial 16S ribosomal RNA". It matches the Rfam family "Bacterial small subunit ribosomal RNA", at positions 524 to 776 of the family's 1533-position model. The record is from RNAcentral.
UACGUAGGCAGCAAGCGUUGUUCGGAGUUACUGGGCGUAAAGGGUGUGUAGGCGGUUCUUUAAGUUUGGUGUUAAAUCUCCCGGCUCAACUGGGAGGGUGCGCCGAAUACUGAGGGACUAGAGUACGGGAGAGGAAAGUGGAAUUCCUGGUGUAGCGGUGAAAUGUGUAGAGAUCGGGAGGAACACCGGUGGCGAAGGCGGUCUUCUGGACGGUGACUGACGCUGAGGCGCGAAAGCGUGGGGAGCAAACGGG